AGGACGAACGCUGGCGGCGUGCUUAACACAUGCAAGUCGAGCGGUAAGGCCUCUUCGGGGGUACACGAGCGGCGAACGGGUGAGUAACACGUGGGUGACCUGCCCUCAGCUCUGGGAUAAGCCUGGGAAACUGGGUCUAAUACUGGAUAUUCACUUCUCAUCGCAUGGUGGGUGGUGGAAAGUUUUUCGGCUGGGGAUGGGCCCGCGGCCUAUCAGCUUGUUGGUGGGGUGAUGGCCUACCAAGGCGACGACGGGUA
This 257-nucleotide ribosomal RNA is filed under the name uncultured bacterium. Its description in RNAcentral is "partial small subunit ribosomal RNA". It matches the Rfam family "Bacterial small subunit ribosomal RNA", at positions 26 to 285 of the family's 1533-position model. The record is from RNAcentral.